GGUGAGAUGGCCGAGCGGUCUAAGGCGCCAGACUAAGGUUGAUCGAUUGAUCGAUCGGUAGACCAAAUCACGUGGUGAUUAUGUAAUAUCUGGUCUUUCGGGGCGUGGGUUCGAAUCCCACUCUCAUCA
Desarmillaria tabescens is the source of this 129-nucleotide non-coding RNA. NCBI's taxonomy places the organism in Eukaryota, Fungi, Basidiomycota, Agaricomycetes, Agaricales, Physalacriaceae. The record is from the annotation of a RefSeq genome assembly.